AAAGAAAGAGAGAGAGAGAGAGAAGAAGAAGCUCUCAUCACUCAUCUGUUAUCUUCCUCUUCUUCUUCUUCUUCCUCUUCUUUUUUCCUUCCACAUUUAUCUUUA
RNAcentral lists this small RNA (105 nucleotides) under Arabidopsis thaliana (thale cress). RNAcentral describes it as "ATSL241820". The record is from RNAcentral. Lineage: Eukaryota; Viridiplantae; Streptophyta; Magnoliopsida; Brassicales; Brassicaceae.